GUUCUCAUAGUAUAUGUAGGUGAGUACGUCAGAUUUUCAAUCUGGAGGAACUUGGGGCAGCCGAUGGCUGCGGGUUGAGAAUA
Molecule: transfer RNA, 83 nt
Filed under: Ascidiella aspersa
Lineage: Eukaryota; Metazoa; Chordata; Ascidiacea; Phlebobranchia; Ascidiidae
Description: transfer RNA-Glu
Source: RNAcentral